UACGUAGGGGGCAAGCGUUGUCCGGAUUUAUUGGGCGUAAAGAGCGUGUAGGCGGCCAGAUAGGUCCGUUGUGAAAACUCGAGGCUCAACCUCGAGACGCCGAUGGAAACCAUUUGGCUAGAGUCCGGAAGAGGAGAGUGGAAUUCCUGGUGUAGCGGUGAAAUGCGCAGAUAUCAGGAGGAACACCAAUAGCGAAGGCAGCUCGCUGGGACGGUACUGACGCUAAGGCGCGAAAGCGUGGGGAGCGAACAGG
This 253-nucleotide ribosomal RNA is filed under the name uncultured bacterium. RNAcentral's name for it is "partial 16S ribosomal RNA". It matches the Rfam family "Bacterial small subunit ribosomal RNA", at positions 524 to 776 of the family's 1533-position model. The record is from RNAcentral.